GAUGAACGCUGGCGGCGUGCCUAAUACAUGCAAGUCGAGCGAACAGACGCGGCUCUUGCUCCUCUGACGUUAGCGGCGGACGGGUGAGUAACACGUGGAUCACCUCCCUAUAUGUCUGGUAUAAUUUCGGAAAACGGGAGCUAAUAGCGGAUAAUAUAUUGCACCGCAUGGUUGAUUAGUGAAAGACGGUGUUGGUGUCACUUAUAGAUGGAUCCGCGCCGCUUGAGCUAGUUGGUAAGGUAACGGCUUACCAAGGCAACGAUGCGUAGCCGACCGGACGGGGUGAUCGGCCACACGGGAGCGGAAACAGGGACCAUACUCCUACGGGAGGCAGCAGUAGGGAAUCUUCCGCAAUGGGCGAAAGCCUGACGGAGCAACGCCGCGUGAGUUAUGAAGGUCUUCGGAUCGUAAAACUCUGUUAUUAGGGAAGAACAAAUGUGUAAGUAACUAUGCACGUCUUGACGGUACCUAAUCAGAAAGCCACGGCUAACUACGUG
Molecule: ribosomal RNA, 497 nt
Filed under: uncultured bacterium
Lineage: Bacteria
Description: partial 16S ribosomal RNA
Rfam family: Bacterial small subunit ribosomal RNA
Source: RNAcentral